GUCAUUUGUCAUUAUUAGUAAUAUUUGACGUUUUAUUUGGAGGUUAUAUAUCUGUUUUUGAAGUGGUCAAAACUCCAUAUUUUUUCGGAAUGUUUUAAGGAUUUUACUCAAAAUAUAUACUUCUGACUGAUGCAAAAUGGUUCGAAACUAUAAGAAAAAGCGAGAGAACGUAAUAAAUGAAGAUAAAAUUACGAAAGCAGUUUUCCAAGUCAUAAAUGGUCUUAUGAAACUAAGUGAAGCUUCAAAUGUAUACAAUGUGAAAGCUAAUACAUUGUUUUAUAGAGUGAAGCGUCACAAGGAGAAGUUCAAACCUAAAGCUGAAGAUUUUACGAGUAAACACACAGUCAACCAAGUAUUCGACAAUCAGGAAGAAAGAGUACUUGCUGGCUAUUUGUUAAAAUCAUCUAAGAUGAAUUACGGUUUUACAUAUAAACAGGCCAGAGAGUUAGCAUUUGAGUAUGCAACAGCAUUAAAGAAAUGCCCAAUAAAAUGGACAGAAAACAAAGAAGCAGGUAUUGACUGGCUAAAAGGAUUUAUGAAACGACACAGAGAACUUACACUUAGGAAACAUGAAAAUAAAAAAAAAAAAUCCAGAUCCACUAACUUCAACAAGCACAGCUGCGGUCAGUUGAUAACCAUGUGUGGUAAGUGCCAUCAGAAAUACUUUUCCUCCAGUUUUAUAUUUCCAAGAGCAAGGUUCAUGACUUCAUGCUUUUUGGGGGACUUUCUGGAAGCCUAUGAUUUGCAAAUAACCCCAAGAGUGGAUGACUGGCAAAUUGUUUCUUAAAGUUCAAGACCAUAUUAAGAAGUUAGUAAGAUGCACAAAUGAAGAUCAAAUAUUGAUAUAUAUCGAGAGCCACUGCACAAUAGACGCAAUAAGAUACUGUUGUGAAAAUGGGAUAGUCCUUGUAACACAUAAAAUUGCCAGCCUGUGGAUAUUGCAGUGAAUGGCACCUUCAAGAAAAAAUUGGUCUAUAGAAAAUGCAAUUUUAAAAGUGCUCCAGGCCAUUUCUUGUUUAUUUUUUCCUUGAGCAAGACAAAACUGUAAUCUGCUAUAGUAAUACAUAAUGUGGCAACCUACACGAGUUUUAGUGCAAAAACAUCAAAUACACAAUGAAAUAAAAGAUACAGUUGA
Molecule: long non-coding RNA, 1135 nt
Organism: Plutella xylostella (diamondback moth)
Lineage: Eukaryota; Metazoa; Arthropoda; Insecta; Lepidoptera; Plutellidae
Source: RefSeq, a predicted model, not a curated record